CAGCUGAAGGCCAAGCACUAAUCAAAGUGGUCAGAUUGGGGGAGGUGAAACAGCAAAGAGAAGUUGUAUUGGUAGACCUCCCCCAGCCACAACAGGAGUCCUACAAAGUGCUCGAUAAAAAAGAAAAUAUGAACAAUUAAUGACGAACAAAAAGCACAAUUCAAAAUUUUGAUCUAUAUAAUUCUAAGGAUCACACAGAUCUAAAGGAGAGAAGAUCAGUAGCCAUCUUGUCCUUCAUCCUGCUCCCAUUUUAUAGAUGAGGAAACUGAGUACCAGAGAAAUAAAAGGACUUGUUUAAUAUCAUCCCUGUAGAAAAUCAAAGAAGUUGAACAUUGGAUGCAGGUGACAUGGAUUUACAGGGAAUUGUCAAUGCAGGGCACAGAUUCCUAUUGAGCUAUUUUGUAGAAUUCUACUGGGAGCUCCAAAGAGAGAAGCAAGUUGGAAAGGAAACCAAGAAGAAAAUGGUGUGACAGGCAAAUGGAGGCCAAUUGGCAGUGCAACAGCGGAGAGUGGAGAGAAAGGGAAGAAAGAUGCUUUGGAUGAGUCGCUGGUAGUCAUACCCACUCCAUUCUUCUGGUUUAAUUAAGCCUGUUCUCUCCAGUCCAUUCUCACUGACUCAUCUAAUAAAGUCUUAUCACCACUUUGCUUCUGUUCCUUA
Molecule: long non-coding RNA, 658 nt
Filed under: Monodelphis domestica (gray short-tailed opossum)
Lineage: Eukaryota; Metazoa; Chordata; Mammalia; Didelphimorphia; Didelphidae
Description: lncRNA (ENSMODG00000036107.2)
Source: RNAcentral